This 460-nucleotide ribosomal RNA is filed under the name uncultured bacterium. Its description in RNAcentral is "partial 16S ribosomal RNA". It matches the Rfam family "Bacterial small subunit ribosomal RNA", at positions 338 to 795 of the family's 1533-position model. The record is from RNAcentral.
CCUACGGGUGGCUGCAGUGAGGAAUAUUGGUCAAUGGACGAGAGUCUGAACCAGCCAAGUAGCGUGAAGGAUGACUGCCCUAUGGGUUGUAAACUUCUUUUAUAAAGGAAUAAAACGAGGCACGUGUGCCUUUUUGCAUGUACUUUAUGAAUAAGGAUCGGCUAAAUCCGUGCCAGCAGCCGAGGUAAUACGGAGGAUCCGAGCGUUAGUCGGAUUUAUUGGGUGUAAAGGUAGCGUAGAUGGGUUGUUAAGUCAGUUGUGAAAGUUUGCGGCUCAACCGUCAAAUUGCAAUUGAUACUGGCAGGCUUGAGUACAGUUGAGGUAAGCGGAAUGCGUGGUGUAGCGGUGAAAUGCAUAGAUAUCACGAAGAACCCAGAUUGCGAAGGCAGCUUACUAACCUGUGACUGACAUUGAUGCCCGAAAGUGUGGGUAUCAAACAGGAUUAGAUACCCGGGUAGUC